RNAcentral lists this ribosomal RNA (482 nucleotides) under uncultured Glomeromycotina. Its description in RNAcentral is "SSU rRNA". It matches the Rfam family "Eukaryotic small subunit ribosomal RNA", at positions 596 to 1081 of the family's 1831-position model. Lineage: Eukaryota; Fungi; Glomeromycota. The record is from RNAcentral.
AGCGUAUAUUAAGUUGUUGCAGUUAAAAAGCUCGUAGUUGAAUUUCGGGAUCAGUACGUUGGUCGUGCCUUAGGUACGUACUGGUGUUACUGGUUCCUACCUUCUGACGAACCAUCAUGUCAUUAAUUUGGUGUGGCGGGGAAUCAGGACUGUUACUUUGAAAAAAUUAGAGUGUUUAAAGCAGGCUCGCGCUUGAAUACAUUAGCAUGGAAUAAUGAAAUAGGACGUUGAUCCUAUUUUGUUGGUUUCUAGGAUUGACGUAAUGAUUAAUAGGGAUAGUUGGGGGCAUUAGUAUUCAAUUGUCAGAGGUGAAAUUCUUGGAUUUAUUGAAGACUAACUACUGCGAAAGCAUUUGCCAAGGAUGUUUUCAUUAAUCAAGAACGAAAGUUAGGGGAUCGAAGACGAUCAGAUACCGUCGUAGUCUUAACCAUAAACUAUGCCGACUAGGGAUCGGAUGAUGUUAAUUUUUUAAUGACUCAUUC